Molecule: ribosomal RNA, 390 nt
Filed under: Triticum aestivum (bread wheat)
Lineage: Eukaryota; Viridiplantae; Streptophyta; Magnoliopsida; Poales; Poaceae
Description: partial small subunit ribosomal RNA
Source: RNAcentral
AUGGAUGGCAACCUAAAGAUCAUAUUCUGGAACGUGCGCGGCCUAAAUUGUAGGGCCAAGCACACCGUUGUCCGAAGCGUCACCUCCUCUAUUUUAUCUUGUAUUGUUUGCCUUUAAGAAACCAAAUUGGCUCUAGUCUCGUCUGCUAUUGUCUUUGAAAUCCUCAACAACCAAUUUGAAGACUUCUACUUUCUCCCCGCGAAUGGCACCCGAGGAGGGAUUUUGUUGGCAUGGCGUCGUUCUUCUGUAUCCCUAUCCAACCCUACUAUUGGUGAUCACCACGUCUCAGCCAUUGUUUCAGACACUUCGGGUGCUAACCCUUGGUGCAUUAUUGGCGUCUACGGCCCACACGUAGAUGAUGAGAAGUUGGACUUUAUCUUUGAGAUCUAG